Molecule: unclassified non-coding RNA, 208 nt
Filed under: Hevea brasiliensis (rubber tree)
Lineage: Eukaryota; Viridiplantae; Streptophyta; Magnoliopsida; Malpighiales; Euphorbiaceae
Source: RNAcentral
AACUGCCUUUGCCUUCGUCUUCGUUUUCGUCUUCUCCAUAGGCUCGUGAGAGAGAGUUUCUAAAGCUUUAAAACCCAUCACUUACAUUGCCCAAAAAGAAGAAGAAGAAAAGCUUGGAAGAGCAGCUGCUUAGAGAGUAUCAUCACUGGCUUAAUUAAAGCCUAAGAUUUAGAUUAAUUUCAUAUCUUAAUAAUAAUAAUAAUAAUAA